Molecule: non-coding RNA, 25 nt
Filed under: Rattus norvegicus (Norway rat)
Lineage: Eukaryota; Metazoa; Chordata; Mammalia; Rodentia; Muridae
Source: RNAcentral
AGAAGAAAUCCAAAGGCCUCUCUGC